Macrobrachium nipponense is the source of this 719-nucleotide long non-coding RNA. RefSeq lists it as uncharacterized. The record is from RefSeq and is a predicted model, not a curated record. The transcript is spliced from 3 exons. Lineage: Eukaryota; Metazoa; Arthropoda; Malacostraca; Decapoda; Palaemonidae.
UGUUGUCCUUGCCUGGUAACUCCCAUAGGAAAAACUACAAAUCUCGUUCGUUUAGUCGCCGGUAUCGUUUGAGGGUGUUUUAUGAUUGCUGAAAGUUGCUGCGGUUCUUCGCUUGGUCGUCUGCCGUUUACUAGACUGAUGCUAUUUGAUCACCACUGGACCUGCUGUUUCCAGGGACUACGAUGGUAACUAUUUUUUUCUCCAGAAUAAUGAGUCUUGGUGGCGAGGGCUUUUAUUGGCAGUUACUGGGCGGAGAUCCUGGAUUUAGAGUAAAUGGAUCUGCUGGGAACUUAAUGGAUUACGCAGAGUUAGAAAUUUUAUCUUAACCUGGGUGAACUGAAUUAUUGUAAAACUAGGAGCCAUUGUAUCUUCAUGGAUUAUGCGCAGAUUAAGCAAUUUUCUCAACGUGAUUGAACUGAAGUUUUGCAAAACGAGUAAGUAAGAUUUUCAAAUGAGCUAUGUACAGUUUUCAAGGAUUCCUUAAAUGGUAUUACAACGUGCUUGAACUGAAGUAUUGCAAAACUAGUAAGUUUUAAGAUUUAUGAAUAAAUAGUGAGCUAUGUACGGUUUUCAAGGAUCCUUUAGAUGGUAUUAGACUAAGUAGUUGAUAUUGUAAUUGUGGAAUAAACUUUUAAUUGCAUAUUAGUAAAACUUAAAUCCUAAAACCCGUGUAUUAGAGUAUGUACUACGAAUAAAUUAAUGGUUUUUUAGUCUAUUUG